UACGUAGGGUGCAAGCGUUGUCCGGAAUUAUUGGGCGUAAAGAGCUCGUAGGCGGUUUGUCACGUCUGCUGUGAAAACCCGAGGCUCAACCUCGGGCCUGCAGUGGGUACGGGCAGACUAGAGUGCGGUAGGGGAGAAUGGAAUUCCUGGUGUAGCGGUGGAAUGCGCAGAUAUCAGGAGGAACACCAAUGGCGAAGGCAGUUCUCUGGGCCGUAACUGACGCUGAGGAGCGAAAGCGUGGGGAGCGAACAGG
This 253-nucleotide ribosomal RNA is filed under the name uncultured bacterium. Its description in RNAcentral is "partial 16S ribosomal RNA". It matches the Rfam family "Bacterial small subunit ribosomal RNA", at positions 524 to 776 of the family's 1533-position model. The record is from RNAcentral.